AUUGAACGCUGGCGGCAGGCCUAACACAUGCAAGUCGAGCGGAUGAAGGGAGCUUGCUCCUGGAUUCAGCGGCGGACGGGUGAGUAAUGCCUAGGAAUCUGCCUGGUAGUGGGGGAUAACGUCCGGAAACGGGCGCUAAUACCGCAUACGUCCUGAGGGAGAAAGUGGGGGAUCUUCGGACCUCACGCUAUCAGAUGAGCCUAGGUCGGAUUAGCUAGUUGGUGGGGUAAAGGCCUACCAAGGCGACGAUCCGUAACUGGUCCGAGACGAUGAUCAGUCACACUGGAACUGAGACACGGUCCAGACUCCUACGGGAGGCAGCAGUGGGGAAUAUUGGACAAUGGGCGAAAGCCUGAUCCAGCCAUGCCGCGUGUGUGAAGAAGGUCUUCGGAUUGUAAAGCACUUUAAGUUGGGAGGAAGGGCAGUAAGUUAAUACCUUGCUGUUUUGACGUUACCAACAGAAUAAGCACCGGCUAACUUCGUG
RNAcentral lists this ribosomal RNA (484 nucleotides) under uncultured bacterium. RNAcentral's name for it is "partial 16S ribosomal RNA". It matches the Rfam family "Bacterial small subunit ribosomal RNA", at positions 30 to 507 of the family's 1533-position model. The record is from RNAcentral.